Molecule: long non-coding RNA, 848 nt
Organism: Felis catus (domestic cat)
Lineage: Eukaryota; Metazoa; Chordata; Mammalia; Carnivora; Felidae
Exons: 3
Source: RefSeq, a predicted model, not a curated record
UGAUAGCAGAGGAGGAGGACCCUAGGCUCACCUCAUCCCAAGGGUACAACUUGAUAACACUCACAUCAGUAUCAGUAACUCAGCAAACGACCAAAAGACUGGCAGAACAAAAUCCACAACUAAAUAUAUAGAAGUCACAUCAAAGAAGGUAGGGAGUGUAAGGAAGCAGUGGAAAGGUAAAUAGAUCACAGGGCUCUCUGCUGGAGGAAGGGACUGGCAGGCACAGAGAAUGGAGAAAACCAGACUAUCACACCAAGGAGCUUGCAUUGGGAAGACAAAUUCCCAUAACAAUUGGCUUUGAAAACUAGAGGAGCUGAGUUUCAAGUUUCCUGAGUUCUUACAAACCGCAGGACUUAAAUCAGUAGGCUCAGUUUGGAGACAGUCUGGAGGACAAUAGGAAACUGAGUCCUUCCUCCUUUAAAGAGAUGACACAGCAAACAGCCUAUAAGCAAACAGCUUAGAAGUAGCAGUAUGAAAAAUGUCUCGGGCAUGCAGAAGAGUUAUUCAACAAUUUCAGAAUGUGUCCAGGAUAGACCGAGAUCCCUGGGAGACUCCUCCAGAAACAAAAGAGCUGGCCAGCCCAGCUCUGCUGUUCCCGCUGGACUCGAGGAGACUUGGCAGGUGAGGACCUGAACCUGACGUUGGAACCGGUAAGGCUGCAGCCCAAUCUAGUCAGGCCCACUCGCAAGAGUGGAGAGGGGACCUGAUCACUCCCCAGGACUUCAGACGUCUCACAGGAACACACACAAAAGCGUACUAGCAUCCAAGAGGAUCAAUGUUUUAUAAUUAGGUCAGAAAGACCCAAUUAGGAGAAUAAAUUUACAAUGUCAUUUUUUUUAUGAAUACAG